GCUGUGGUGGUUCAGUGAUAGAAUUCUCGCCUUCCAUGCCGGAGACUUGGGUUUGAUUCCCAACCGAUGCA
RNAcentral lists this transfer RNA (71 nucleotides) under Loxodonta africana (African savanna elephant). It matches the Rfam family "tRNA". From Rfam's summary of the family: Transfer RNA (tRNA) molecules are approximately 80 nucleotides in length. The record is from Rfam by way of RNAcentral. Lineage: Eukaryota; Metazoa; Chordata; Mammalia; Proboscidea; Elephantidae.